Molecule: RNase P RNA, 386 nt
Filed under: Maritimibacter sp.
Lineage: Bacteria; Pseudomonadati; Pseudomonadota; Alphaproteobacteria; Rhodobacterales; Roseobacteraceae
Description: RNase P RNA component class A
Rfam family: Bacterial RNase P class A
About the family: Ribonuclease P (RNase P) is a ubiquitous endoribonuclease, found in archaea, bacteria and eukarya as well as chloroplasts and mitochondria. Its best characterised activity is the generation of mature 5'-ends of tRNAs by cleaving the 5'-leader elements of precursor-tRNAs.
Source: RNAcentral
GCGGAUGGCCGGACGGUCGCCGGUGUCGGGGGCUUCCCCGACGCGGGAGGAAAGUCCGGACUCCACAAGACAACGGUGCCGGGUAACGCCCGGCCGGGGAAACCCGAGGGAAAGCGCCACAGAGAACAAACCGCCCCGCAUGUCGGGGUGAGGCUGAAACGGUGGGGUAAGAGCCCACCGCGGGACCGGCAACGGAACCGGCAAGGCAAGCCCCACCGGGAGCAAUGCCGAAUAGGGAUCUCGCGCCCCGCGUGGGCAGGGCCGUCUUGGCCCGGAGGUCCGGGUUGGCAGCUGAAGCCGCGUGGCGACACGCGGCUUAGAGGAAUGAUCGUCGAACCGGGGUCCGCCCCGGGGAACAGAAUCCGGCUUACAGGCCAUCCGCGCAU